AAUUGUUUAAUAGUAUGGUGUUCUAAGAAACAACCUUCAGUAAGUCUGUCUUCAACAGAGGCUGAAUAUGUGUCACUGAGCGUAGCUGCUAGUGAAGCGUGUUGGCUUAUUAAUAUAUUACAUGAUUUUGAUUUUAAAAAUAUUUGUACAACAAACUUAUUGUGUGAUAAUCAGUCAGCAAUAUUAAAUGCCAGUACUGAGUCUGUAAAAUGAUUAAAACAUGUAGAUAUUAGAUAUCACUUUGUUAAGGAAUUAGUUAAAAAUAAUAAGAUCUGUAUUAAGUACAUAAGCAGUUGUAAUCAGCUGGCAGACAUGUUAACAAAACCUAUAAGUAAUGAAUUGAUUAUAAAGUAUUUGAAACAAUGUGGUAGCCAUUCAUUGGUGUUAUUGAUUGUUUAGAUGAUAAUUUUUUUUUGAAAUGUAUAACAUUGAGGGGGAGUGUUGACUAUGGCAAUGUUUAUACAUUUAGUAAAGGUUAUCUAUAGUACGUUAUUGUCAAUUUAUAGGUUGGUAAAACUGUAUCCGUUAAUUGUUAAUAAGUUUAAUUUAACAAUCACGAUGGGUUCUCUCGCUGUGUGUGUAACGUUCUAGAAACUCUCUUUGUAACUUUGUAUUAACUAUUAACUAAAGAGUUGGAUUUA
RNAcentral lists this unclassified non-coding RNA (641 nucleotides) under Melitaea cinxia (Glanville fritillary). Its description in RNAcentral is "misc RNA ENSMCXG00005001201.1". The record is from RNAcentral. Lineage: Eukaryota; Metazoa; Arthropoda; Insecta; Lepidoptera; Nymphalidae.